AUGCGAUCCGGCUGCUUGGCCGGUAGCCUGCCACGCGGGGGCGGGACCCCGAGUCGAGCGGGAGCGGCCCGGCGGUUAGGUACCAGAGUGGGCGCUUCCGUCGUCCUGCACCGCCGGGUAGGAGGUACACUCGGUUUUCCCUGGGAAAGUCCUCUGGCGAAAGCGUCUUGGAAUUGAGCGCCUCCGACCUCUUGGACAUCUCUGACUGGAUGGAGAAUUACAAUCUCCAAAGAAUACUAGAAACGGCUGAGCUAGGCAGCACGGGCUGCCCUGGAACUGGCAGUCUUCCUCCCUGUGCCUCAAGAAUUGGGAUUACACGUGUGGUCACUGUAAGUGUUGCAGCUCUGAGGGGAAAGGUUUCCCCAACAGAAAUGUUGCAGCUUUGAGGGGAAAGGUAUUCUGGCAGUUGGGAGCCAAGGAAUACCACAAAGCCACACCAUACAACAAACCUCACAC
This 456-nucleotide long non-coding RNA is filed under the name Cricetulus griseus (Chinese hamster). RNAcentral's name for it is "lncRNA (ENSCGRG00015041879.1)". The record is from RNAcentral. Lineage: Eukaryota; Metazoa; Chordata; Mammalia; Rodentia; Cricetidae.